This is a long non-coding RNA of Pongo pygmaeus (Bornean orangutan), 1044 nucleotides long. RefSeq lists it as uncharacterized. The record is from RefSeq and is a predicted model, not a curated record. The transcript is spliced from 6 exons. NCBI's taxonomy places the organism in Eukaryota, Metazoa, Chordata, Mammalia, Primates, Hominidae.
ACAGUCGGCGCAUGCGCGGGGCGGACUUGGCGGUGAAAGGCGCUUCCUCAGCCCGCGAGGGAGACCCAGAAGUAGUACUGAGUUAGCGCUCGUCCUCCCGCCGGUCCACCACCACCAAGUGUAGCCCGGGCCCGGCCUAUUUCCUCAGACACAGCCCCAGAGUCGAGAGCCACUCCUACCCCGGGAGCCCUUCGCCAAGCGCGCAGCUCCAGACCAGAAGCAGCCGCUCCGACCCAGAGCUCCGGGUGGGGCAGAAGAAUCUUUUCUUGCUGCUCUCCUAGGAUCUACCAACCAGAGAUUCUAAUGUGAUAUGUUUGGAAUGGAGUUAUCGAUCUGCAUUUUUAAUAGGCAUUCCUCCAGGUUUCUACCGUCUGUGGAACAUGGAAUCAAACCAGAAUAUGUUGGCACAACAGGCCAGUAAAACCGGUUCUUCUGUAGAUCCAGAACUUGUCCAACCAGUCUGUAUCAAAGGCUAGCCCAACAUGCUGCAGCGGCUCAGCUCUGCUAAGCUCGUACUGGAAUGAGAGGGGGAAAUGGAAGGAGAAAAAAAAACAAUGAUAAAAAGCCUAGAGAUGACCACAUAUGAAACGACCACGUGUGCAAAGGACUGCUGGAAAAUCAAUCAGAUUAAUAGCACCAAAUCUGUGGAGCUAGAAGAUGUGGAUUCAAACUCCUGCUGCACAUCUUGUAUGCUUUUUGAUUUUGAAAGAGUUUUUUUUUUUUCCUUUUUGAGCCUUGGCUUCCAUAUACACAAAAUGAAGUUACCAGUAAUAUCAACCUUAUAGGGGAUGGCCUGGAUCCUGCCAUGUAAAUCAAAGAAGAGAGGGCCUAACUUAGCUGCCUAGCCUGGAUCACCUGGAACCCAUUAGGAUACAGGAUCAUAAACACCUCUAUUUUCCCUUCAGAGAGAGACCAGAACCACUGGAGUUAAGCUACCUGCAUAAGAGUUGAGUGCGAUCAGCUGUACUUAAUCUUUAAAUGUCCAACCCACCGAUAACCUUUGGUUUGCUUUGAUAACUAUGAAAUAAAUUCUCACUGCAUUGG